RNAcentral lists this unclassified non-coding RNA (332 nucleotides) under Athalia rosae (coleseed sawfly). RNAcentral's name for it is "misc RNA ENSAEAG00005010228.1". Lineage: Eukaryota; Metazoa; Arthropoda; Insecta; Hymenoptera; Athaliidae. The record is from RNAcentral.
GCCAAGACUAUAUCCCGAAAAAGUCAAUUGCGAACGUGCAAUUCGGUAGUCGAUCAUUGCAGCGUCUUGUACGUAGAUCCAUCGUUUCCGAAGCAACGGCAGUCUGGCCUCAGCAGCCGAAGCGACGUGGUCAUCGGGAGCGACAUCGGUGGUAGCGCGUACAUUCUUUGAGAAGAGAAAGAAGAAGCUAGCGAGGAGAGAGAGACAUAUUUUUGGGGUCUUUCGUCUUGGAUUCGACGGCAGUUCGGCUUCGGCGACAGAAGCGGCGACAUCGGGAGCGACAUCAGUAGCAAAGCGGGUUCCUUAGAGCGACGAUGGAGAGAGAGAGAACG